GCAUUUUUAUGCAACACGCAUAAUGUAGAGGUAAUCAUUCGGUACGAAAAUGAUACACAGUUAAUAUAAUCUCGCUAACGUACAUACACGGGUAACACAUCAACGCCAUUCGUGUACACUAUCUGGCGGUUCGGCGAGCCAUUAAGACGUAUAAUAUUAAUGAGACUCUGUCGCGAAUAAAUAGGCAGUUUACUUCAUUUAACAUUAGAUGGGAAUUCGGCUCCUCAAAAACGCGCGCCGUUAUUGUUCACAUAUAAUACGGUACUCGUUGCGAGUGACGUCUACGCGAAUAAGUUAUACAGGGUCGUCU
Molecule: non-coding RNA, 310 nt
Organism: Cinara cedri
Lineage: Eukaryota; Metazoa; Arthropoda; Insecta; Hemiptera; Aphididae
Source: the annotation of a GenBank genome assembly